CAGUCGCCGCGGUAAUACCGAGGGUGCAAGCGUUAAUCGGAUUUACUGGGCGUAAAGGGCGCGUAGGUGGUUAUGUAAGUGAGAUGUGAAAUCCCCGGGCUCAACCUGGGAACUGCAUCUUAUACUGCGUAGCUGGAGUGCAGUAGAGGGUAGUGGAAUUUCCGGUGUAGCGGUGAAAUGCGUAGAUAUCGGAAGGAACACCAGUGGCGAAGGCGGCUACCUGGACUGACACUGACACUGAGGCGCGAAAGCGUGGGGAGCAAACAGGAUUAGAUACCCCUGUAGUCCCUGUCUCUUAUAC
This 301-nucleotide ribosomal RNA is filed under the name uncultured bacterium. RNAcentral's name for it is "partial 16S ribosomal RNA". It matches the Rfam family "Bacterial small subunit ribosomal RNA", at positions 509 to 807 of the family's 1533-position model. The record is from RNAcentral.